Molecule: transfer RNA, 76 nt
Filed under: Clostridia bacterium
Lineage: Bacteria; Bacillati; Bacillota; Clostridia
Description: tRNA-Gln
Rfam family: tRNA
About the family: Transfer RNA (tRNA) molecules are approximately 80 nucleotides in length.
Source: RNAcentral
UGGGGUGUCGCCAAGCGGUAAGGCAUCAGACUCUGACUCUGACAUUACCGGGGUUCGAAUCCCUGCACCCCAGCCA